AUAAGACACCAUAACGCUCCUCCGUCAUAUUGGGAUUGGAAACAGUAAGAUAAAGAUGUUGAAGGAGGUUAUCAUCCUGUGCUUCAUGGUCGCAGUCGCUAGUGCGAGCACUUGCCGUAACUGCCAGGUAAACCGGAAACAGUACAGAGGCAACAGCAAAUUCACCUACGACAGAGCAUGCUAUCGUUUCAGUUGCUUAUGUUACUGUGACGGUUCACAUUAUUGUCCAGUCUAUUUAACCAAAAGGGUUUGCGGAGUCGUCCCGCGAGCAUGCAGACCAUGUAAGGUGUCUGGAAGAGAGUACCAGCGUGGUCGCUUCUGGUUUGACGAUAAGUGUUACAGAUUUGAUUGCAACUGUAAAUGUGAUGGGUCCUAUGCUUGUCUUGCAUCAAACCCCAGAUAUAUUUGUUGACCAUUAUACUGACAAAAGCUUCAUUUAAAAAUAUUGCUGUUUGAAUAAACGAUGCGAUAAAAGUUA
Molecule: long non-coding RNA, 478 nt
Organism: Ostrea edulis (European flat oyster)
Lineage: Eukaryota; Metazoa; Mollusca; Bivalvia; Ostreida; Ostreidae
Exons: 2
Source: RefSeq, a predicted model, not a curated record